RNAcentral lists this ribosomal RNA (786 nucleotides) under uncultured bacterium. Its description in RNAcentral is "bacterial SSU rRNA". It matches the Rfam family "Bacterial small subunit ribosomal RNA", at positions 571 to 1356 of the family's 1533-position model. The record is from RNAcentral.
GUAGGCGGUCUGUCGCGUCGAAUGUGAAAACCCGGGGCUCAACUCCGGGCUUGCAUUCGAUACGGGCAGGCUAGAGUUCGGUAGGGGAGUCUGGAAUUCCUGGUGUAGCGGUGAAAUGCGCAGAUAUCAGGAGGAACACCGGUGGCGAAGGCGGGACUCUGGGCCGAUACUGACGCUGAGGAGCGAAAGCGUGGGGAGCGAACAGGAUUAGAUACCCUGGUAGUCCACGCCGUAAACGUUGGGCGCUAGGUGUGGGGGUCCUUCCACGAUCUCCGUGCCGCAGCUAACGCAUUAAGCGCCCCGACUGGGGAGUACGGCCGAAAGGCUAAAACUCAAAGGAAUAGACGGGGGCCCGCACAAGCGGCGGAGCAUGCGGAUUAAUUCGAUGCGACGCGAAGAACCUUACCAAGGCUUGACAUGCACGGGAAAGUUCCAGAGAUGGUUCCCCCGCAAGGUCCGUGCACAGGUGGUGCAUGGUUGUCGUCAGCUCGUGUCGUGAGAUGUUGGGGUAAGUCCCGCAACGAGCGCAACCCUUGUCUUAUGUUGCCAGCACGUGAUGGUGGGGACUCAUAAGAGACUGCCGGGGUCAACUCGGAGGAAGGUGGGGAUGACGUCAAAUCAUCAUGCCCCUUAUGUCUUGGGCUUCACGCAUGCUACAAUGGCCUGUACAAAGGGCUGCGAAACCGUGAGGUGGAGCGAAUCCCAAAAAGCCGGUCUCAGUUCGGAUUGGGGUCUGCAACUCGACCCCAUGAAGUCGGAGUCGCUAGUAAUCGCAGAUCAGCAACG